UUUGGAUCAUGGCUCAAAUUGAACGCUGGCGGCAUGCCUCCCUCUUGCAAGUCGAACGGUAACAGGUUAAGCUGACGAGUGGCGAACGGGUGAGUAAUGUAUCGAACCGUGCCUAGUCUUGGGGGAUAACGUAGCGAAAGCUACGCUAAUACCGCAUACGAUCCAUGGAUGAAAGCGGGGGACCUUCGGGCCUCGCGCGAUUAGAGCGGCCGAUAUCAAAUUAGGUAGUUGGGGGGGUAAAGGCCCACCAAGCCAACAAUCUGUAGCUGGUCUGAGAGGACAACCAGCCACACUGGGGCUGAGACACGGCCCAAACUCCUACGGGAGGCAGCAGUGGGGAAUUUUGGACAUUGGGCGCAAGCCUGAUCCAGCAAUGCCGCGUGCAGGAUGAAGGCCUUCGGGUUGUAAACUGCUUUUGUCCGGAGCGA
This 428-nucleotide ribosomal RNA is filed under the name uncultured bacterium. RNAcentral describes it as "bacterial SSU rRNA". It matches the Rfam family "Bacterial small subunit ribosomal RNA", at positions 12 to 448 of the family's 1533-position model. The record is from RNAcentral.